UUAGAGGAAAAUACCCCUGG
This 20-nucleotide microRNA is filed under the name Nematostella vectensis (starlet sea anemone). RNAcentral describes it as "nve-miR-2041b-3p". Lineage: Eukaryota; Metazoa; Cnidaria; Anthozoa; Actiniaria; Edwardsiidae. The record is from miRBase by way of RNAcentral.